This 870-nucleotide ribosomal RNA is filed under the name uncultured Alphaproteobacteria bacterium. Its description in RNAcentral is "bacterial SSU rRNA". It matches the Rfam family "Bacterial small subunit ribosomal RNA", at positions 46 to 933 of the family's 1533-position model. The record is from RNAcentral. Lineage: Bacteria; Pseudomonadati; Pseudomonadota; Alphaproteobacteria.
GCCUAAUACAUGCAAGUUCGAACGGCAGCACGGACUUCGGUCUGGUGGCGAGUGGCGAACGGGUGAGUAAUGUAUCGGAACGUGCCUAGUAGCGGGGGAUAACUACGCGAAAGCGUAGCUAAUACCGCAUACGCCCUACGGGGGAAAGCAGGGGAUCGCAAGACCUUGCUCUAUUAGAGCGGCCGAUAUCGGAUUAGCUAGUUGGUGGGGUAAUGGCCUACCAAGGCGACGAUCUUUAGCUGGUCUGAGAGGAUGAUCAGCCACACUGGGACUGAGACACGGCCCAGACUCCUACGGGAGGCAGCAGUGGGGAAUAUUGGACAAUGGGCGCAAGCCUGAUCCAGCCAUGCCGCGUGAGUGAUGAAGGCCUUAGGGUUGUAAAGCUCUUUCAGUGGGGAAGAUAAUGACGGUACCCACAGAAGAAGCCCCGGCUAACUUCGUGCCAGCAGCCGCGGUAAUACGAAGGGGGCUAGCGUUGUUCGGAUUUACUGGGCGUAAAGCGCACGUAGGCGGGUUGUUAAGUCAGGGGUGAAAUCCUGGAGCUCAACUCCAGAACUGCCUUUGAUACUGGCAAUCUAGAGUCCGGAAGAGGUGAGUGGAACUCCUAGUGUAGAGGUGGAAUUCGUAGAUAUUAGGAAGAACACCAGUGGCGAAGGCGGCUCACUGGUCCGGUACUGACGCUGAGGUGCGAAAGCGUGGGGGAGCAAACAGGAUUAGAUACCCUGGGUAGUCCACGCCCGUAAACUAUGAGAGCUAGCCGUUGGACGGUUUACCGUUCAGUGGCGGCAGCUAACGCAUUAAGCUCUCCGCCUGGGGAGUACGGUCGCAAGAUUAAAACUCNAGGAAUUGACGGGGGCCCGCACAAGCCGG